GGCCUGAUGGUCUAGUGGUAUGAUUCCUUGUUAGGGCUUCCAACGUUGCUCGAGGAGGUCCUGGGUUCAAUUCCCAGCCCUUUUU
Mycena leptocephala is the source of this 85-nucleotide non-coding RNA. The record is from the annotation of a GenBank genome assembly. Lineage: Eukaryota; Fungi; Basidiomycota; Agaricomycetes; Agaricales; Mycenaceae.